Molecule: ribosomal RNA, 511 nt
Filed under: uncultured bacterium
Lineage: Bacteria
Description: bacterial SSU rRNA
Rfam family: Bacterial small subunit ribosomal RNA
Source: RNAcentral
AUUGAGUUUGAUCCUGGCUCAGGACGAACGCUGGCGGCGUGCUUAACACAUGCAAGUCGAACGGUGAUCUUGAGAGCUUGCUCUUGGGUGAUCAGUGGCGAACGGGUGAGUAACACGUGAGUAACCUGCCCCUGACUCUGGAAUAACUUCGGGAAACCGAAGCUAAUACCGGAUAUGACACAGAGCCGCAUGGUUUCUGUGUGGAAAGUUUUUCGGUUGGGGAUGGACUCGCGGCCUAUCAGCUUGUUGGUGAGGUAAUGGCUCACCAAGGCGACGACGGGUAGCCGGCCUGAGAGGGCGACCGGCCACACUGGGACUGAGACACGGCCCAGACUCCUACGGGAGGCAGCAGUGGGGAAUAUUGCACAAUGGGCGAAAGCCUGAUGCAGCGACGCCGCGUGAGGGAUGAAGGCCUUCGGGUUGUAAACCUCUUUCAGUAGGGAAGAAGCGAAAGUGACGGUACCUACAGAAGAAGCACCGGCUAACUACGUGCCAGCAGCCGCGGUAAAAU